RNAcentral lists this non-coding RNA (29 nucleotides) under Cricetulus griseus (Chinese hamster). The record is from RNAcentral. Lineage: Eukaryota; Metazoa; Chordata; Mammalia; Rodentia; Cricetidae.
UCAUCAGUUGGGAGAGUGAGGGCAAGACA